Molecule: ribosomal RNA, 372 nt
Filed under: uncultured bacterium
Lineage: Bacteria
Description: bacterial SSU rRNA
Rfam family: Bacterial small subunit ribosomal RNA
Source: RNAcentral
UAAUACGGAAGAUGCGAGCGUUAUCCGGAUUUAUUGGGUUUAAAGGGAGCGUAGGCGGGCAGUCAAGUCAGCGGUCAAAUGGCGCGGCUCAACCGCGUUCCGCCGUUGAAACUGGCAGCCUUGAGUAUGCACAGGGUACAUGGAAUUCGUGGUGUAGCGGUGAAAUGCUUAGAUAUCACGAGGAACUCCGAUCGCGCAGGCAUUGUACCGGGGCAUUACUGACGCUGAGGCUCGAAGGUGCGGGUAUCAAACAGGAUUAGAUACCCUGGUAGUCCGCACAGUAAACGAUGAAUGCCCGCUGUCGGCGACAUAGUGUCGGCGGCCAAGCGAAAGCGUUAAGCAUUCCACCUGGGGAGUACGCCGGCAACGGUG